AGAGGAAAUAUGCCACAUAUGGACAGAUAUCUGGAAGAGAAAAUGACUGUGCCCUCUUUGUGCCGUUGCUGGGCCCAAUUUUUAGAAGCUGAUUUUUGCUGAUCAAUAUACCUUCCUUUUCGACUUUAUUCGUAUUAACCAGAAACUGUAAAGUUAAGACCAAAGGGAAAAAGGUCCCUUUUCCAAGUCCCUGAUCUGCUUUGAGGAUAGAGCGAGGAAUCUCAAAGCUAUUGUGAUUGGUUCCUGCGGCAUCAAGCCAUGAGAUUCCCCUGGGUUUAAGCUUCUUAGGGGAGAAAUAGCACUGGGUCUGCGGUCAGAACAUCCAGGUUCAAGUUCUGACUCACUCUCUUUCUAAUCACAUGACCUUGAAGAAGGCGUGUAAGUUCUCUGGGCUUCAGCUGUCCGCAUCUGUGAAGAGGAUCAUUGGACCAUCAAGGAGAUACUUUCUAAAACACUGUGCAAGGCAGGCACAGGGACCUCUCACGAUCAAACCCCUCCCUGGAGUGUGGCCCAGCGUCUGGCUUGGCUGUAAGGAACAAACUCUCCAGGUAACGAGAUAA
RNAcentral lists this long non-coding RNA (560 nucleotides) under Sus scrofa (pig). Its description in RNAcentral is "lncRNA (ENSSSCG00050077791.1)". Lineage: Eukaryota; Metazoa; Chordata; Mammalia; Artiodactyla; Suidae. The record is from RNAcentral.